Molecule: ribosomal RNA, 212 nt
Filed under: Acanthamoeba genotype T4
Lineage: Eukaryota; Discosea; Longamoebia; Acanthamoebidae
Description: partial 18S ribosomal RNA
Rfam family: Eukaryotic small subunit ribosomal RNA
Source: RNAcentral
UUUCAUUAAUCAAGAACGAAAGUUAGGGGAUCGAAGACGAUCAGAUACCGUCGUAGUCUUAACCAUAAACGAUGCCGACCAGCGAUUAGGAGACGUUGAAUACAAAACACCACCAUCGGUUGCGGUCGUCCUUGGCGUCUCGGUUUCGGCCGGGGCGCGGGGAUGGCUUAGCCCGGUGGCACCGGUGAAUGACUCCCCUAGCAGCUUGUGAG